CCUGCCCUACGGGACGCAGCAGUGAGGAAUAUUGGUCAAUGGCCGAGAGGCUGAACCAGCCACGUCGCGUGAGGGAAGACGGCCCUACGGGUUGCAAACCUCUUUUGUCGGGGAGCAAAGCGAACCACGUGUGGUUCAUUGAGAGUACCCGAAGAAAAAGCAUCGGCUAACUCCGUGCCAGCAGCCGCGGUAAUACGGAGGAUGCGAGCGUUAUCCGGAUUUAUUGGGUUUAAAGGGUGCGCAGGCGGAGGUGCAAGUCAGCGGUCAAAUUGCGGGGCUCAACCCCGUACUGCCUUUGAAACUGC
Molecule: ribosomal RNA, 305 nt
Filed under: uncultured bacterium
Lineage: Bacteria
Description: bacterial SSU rRNA
Rfam family: Bacterial small subunit ribosomal RNA
Source: RNAcentral